UACGGAGGACCCGAGCGUUAUCCGGAUUCAUUGGGUUUAAAGGGUGCGUAGGCGGGGUAGUAAGUCAGGGGUGAAAGCCGGCAGCUCAACUGUCGAAUUGCCUUUGAUACUGCUAUUCUUGAGUGUGAUUGAUGUGGGCGGAAUGUGACAUGUAGCGGUGAAAUGCGUAGAUAUGUCCCAGAACACCAAUAGCGAAGGCAGCUCACAAAGCCACCACUGACGCUGAUGCACGAAAGCGUGGGUAGCAAACAGG
RNAcentral lists this unclassified non-coding RNA (253 nucleotides) under uncultured Bacteroidota bacterium. Its description in RNAcentral is "uncultured Bacteroidetes bacterium contains 16S-23S intergenic spacer region". It matches the Rfam family "Bacterial small subunit ribosomal RNA", at positions 524 to 776 of the family's 1533-position model. The record is from RNAcentral. Lineage: Bacteria; Pseudomonadati; Bacteroidota.